CCAUCGGUGGUUCUGUGGUAGAGUGCUCGCCUGCCACGCGGGCGGCCCGGGUUCGACUCCCGGCCGACGCA
RNAcentral lists this transfer RNA (71 nucleotides) under Paragonimus westermani. Its description in RNAcentral is "tRNA-Gly". It matches the Rfam family "tRNA". From Rfam's summary of the family: Transfer RNA (tRNA) molecules are approximately 80 nucleotides in length. The record is from RNAcentral. Lineage: Eukaryota; Metazoa; Platyhelminthes; Trematoda; Plagiorchiida; Troglotrematidae.